AAAUUUGCUUAGUAGGAAAGUACUGUGUUGGUGUUAAGUGAUUAGUGGACAGUUCUGCUUUAUGGAAAAUGAGUCCCUCAGUGUGUACUUGCUCAGCUUACAUGUAAAACUAUGUAUUUUCUAGCUGCUGGCCUCCAAAUCAGAUGAGAUGUCAAAUGAGGUUCAUCCUGUCACUUCCAAGAAGUCUGACUCAAAGGAGAGAUGUACCAGGGAGGAGGGUGCGGAGUGAUCUAAAAAUCUGCUGGAGGAUAAGAUGCAGCCAACACUUUUCCUCAGAAGUUCAGAGGAGGCCCCUGCUUGCACCUGCCAGCUCUGUACAGACAGGUACUAAAAUUCACAUCUGAGUGUGUCAGAAAACUGCGCUCAGCUGUCUCAACUUCUGUCACAGGCCUAUCUGCUAUGAGAGGAACCAGCCAAUUAAUCUGGGAUGUUCAGAAGCGCUCGGUUCUGUUGUUCCGAUUCCUGGACCUAUGAGAAGCCUGGCCCGCAGCUUGGCAGCUGAGCGUUUGGAAAGCUGGCUGCCAGCCCCUCCAAAAAUCCGGCCUUGAAUCUGCAAAUAUGCAGCUCAGAAACUACCACAAGCAGCAGCCAAUCUGAUCCCAAGCAUAAGCCAAGUUCAUCACGGCUUCAUGAAAAAAUAACACCUUCUGGGGCUUUUGCCAUGCACAGCAAAAUACAGUGUUGCAGAAAUAUUUUGUAGGCAGCUUUCUGUACAAUAACCUGCUGCUCCACAGGCAUUACUACCCAACAUUGAUCCAGGCAUGUUUUUUCAGCACAGCAUCACAUUUUAUGUUGCUAUCAAGCAGUGUGAUAUGUUUUACCUUUUAAUAUGCUCCAUUGUUUUCUUAAACCACUUCAUUUUUCCUUCAAAUUCCUUUCAGCCGUGGCGAUCUUGUGUUUAAUGGCAUUGUUUGUUUGUUGCAAAACUUCAUAAAUACAGAUGUAUAUGGGUACCUCUAGGCCUUAUUUUUUUCUGUUAACCACCAGUAGAAGUGUAUCUGGACAAAUAGCUAGAUAUUUUCAUGUGUCCCUAAUUUUUGAUGUACAGUUUAGGUUGUACCUAGUGAGGAAUAUCCAAAGCCUCAUUUGUACAUAAGCUCUCUCCCUCUCUAUUUCUCUCCCUUUCACGUUUAAAGUGUGUAGCAACGUGCUGGGCUUUUAUCUUUGCAGAAUUUGGUUCAAACCUGACUUCCACGGUAAGCAAAAUUGAGUUGCAAAAGAUCAUUCUAAUUAUUGAAAGUGUUUGCUUGAUAUUUAGCAUGUUAUAGCAUGAUCAUCCUCAUUUACAGUAUGUUACAGCUGCAGCUUUUAAACUGUGUGCCAGCAGCGCAGUGCCUUCGUAGCUUCUGUAGAUAAAACCAGCAUGAGGGGAGUAUACGUUGCAUAUAACACAGUGUGACAGUUUAAAGGGCAGUAAACUUGGUCCAGAGAAUGAGCAGAUCAUCAUUGGAAGGUGAAUAAUCCUACAUAAUUUUGAGAUGUACUUAUCAGUACAGAAAACACAUCCAAAUGGAUUCUGUCACCUUCUUGUCCCCUUGAAGAAGGAAGGUGUUCACGGAGAAAUGUGGUGGGCAGUCACAGUAGGAAACAGCUCCAUUCGUAGCCUUAGCACCAAGAUACAGAUAUAGGUAACUGAAGGGGGAAGGAGGAGGGAUGCUUUCUUCUGUCUUCAUAUGAUGAAAAUAAAAAGUGAUCAGGAUAGAUUUUUAUUAUCCUCUGGGUGUUAAAAUCCUAAAUGCAAAAUGCAUGACUUAUUAUAUCUAGCCAGCUCUUAGGGGUAAAUAGGCAGUAUGGGGAAUUAGUUGUUGUUAAUUGGACUUCUGAGCUGAAUUCCCAGGGUGCUGCACUGCAAGCAUACCCCUUUUGUUUUAAUAUUGAAAUAGGGAGAGGCCAGAACUGUGAUGGAUUAAUUCCAGUAUAGAACAGCAGAGCACGCUAAAUCAUCUUCAUCCAAAUACUUAAGUUUCAUUUGUUCAACGUAAACAUCUUAGGGGUAAUUUCUACAUGUACUAUAGAAGGUAUUUGGCUUUCCAUUGACCAUCUAAAAAAUGUAAGGCAGAUCUUAAAGCAGCAUAAAUUGUUUAAUUGUUCUGUAACAUAUGACGAUGUGGCUCACUGUUUCUAAAGCCAUUAUCUAAAUAUAUAAAACAUUUGCUAUGAAAUUCGGGCGCUCAGUUCUGUGGCUGGUGAAUUGAACUCUUCAGAAUUGCAUGGCAGUGAACGUACGAUUUUAUUGUGAUAUGAUUUUAUUGUGAUACAAUUUCAUCACAAACAAAAAGGGAAAUCUUGAAAAUUGCCUUUUGUGUUGUUUUAACAAUAUAAUGCGCAGUAUUUCUUCUUACAAAGUUUUAAUAACAAUCACAAAAUAAAACUAAAAA
Molecule: long non-coding RNA, 2378 nt
Organism: Columba livia (rock pigeon)
Lineage: Eukaryota; Metazoa; Chordata; Aves; Columbiformes; Columbidae
Exons: 2
Source: RefSeq, a predicted model, not a curated record